RNAcentral lists this ribosomal RNA (253 nucleotides) under uncultured bacterium. RNAcentral describes it as "partial 16S ribosomal RNA". It matches the Rfam family "Bacterial small subunit ribosomal RNA", at positions 524 to 776 of the family's 1533-position model. The record is from RNAcentral.
UACAGAGGGGGCAAGCGUUGCUCGGAAUUACUGGGCGUAAAGGGCGCGUAGGCGGCCUUCUAAGUCGAACGUGAAAUCCCCGGGCUCAACCCGGGAACUGCGUCCGAUACUGGAAGGCUUGAAUCCGGGAGAGGGAUGCGGAAUUCCUGGUGUAGCGGUGAAAUGCGCGGAUAUCAGGAGGAACACCAGUGGCGAAGGCGGUGCUCUGGGCCGGAACUGACGCUGAGGAGCGAAAGCGUGGGGAGCAAACAGG